RNA transcript from Syngnathus acus (greater pipefish), 1747 nucleotides. It is a transcript of the gene named histone H3.3A, with no coding region annotated. NCBI's taxonomy places the organism in Eukaryota, Metazoa, Chordata, Actinopteri, Syngnathiformes, Syngnathidae. The record is from RefSeq and is a predicted model, not a curated record. The transcript has 6 exons.
AAAAGAAGCGAGUGUGGUCAAACAUGCCGAGACUAGUUUGACAAUCCUGAGUCAAGUCCAAAUUCAACGUGAACGACUUCGAUACUGUCGCAUUUAGGGACACUUGAUUGAUGCGGCGGCCAUUUUACCCGCUGGACGCUUCCUCUCAUUGUGGAUACGAAGAAGAAAAUAACAAGCGAAAGCUUUCUCGUCACUUCGGUUCACUUUUUCUCGACAGCGAGGGAGGCGGGGCCACAAAGACUGGAAGCAACUGUGAAGCCCGCCCGCUUACCAACAAUCUUAAUCAGCAAUGGCCCGUACCAAGCAGACUGCCCGUAAAUCCACUGGAGGCAAAGCUCCACGAAAGCAGCUGGCCACAAAGGCUGCCCGGAAGAGCGCUCCCUCCACUGGAGGUGUGAAGAAGCCCCAUCGCUACAGGCCCGGUACUGUUGCUCUGCGUGAGAUCCGUCGUUACCAGAAGUCCACUGAACUUCUGAUCCGCAAGCUGCCGUUCCAGCGCUUGGUGAGAGAAAUCGCUCAGGACUUCAAGACAGACCUGCGUUUCCAGAGUGCAGCCAUUGGUGCUCUGCAGGAAGCCAGCGAGGCCUACCUGGUGGGUCUGUUUGAGGACACCAACCUGUGUGCCAUCCACGCCAAGCGUGUCACCAUCAUGCCAAAAGACAUCCAACUGGCACGUCGCAUCCGUGGGGAGCGCGCGUAAAUAAAUGUCUUUGUAUUUUUCACCCGUCUGUUUGUACAGUAUAUGCUCACUUCCGCAUCCCUUUCUCUUUGUAGUAGUAUGUAGGGAAACUGUUUGUUUAAUAAUCAACUUCAUAGUGUUUUUUUUCGUAGUGCUCUCAGCAGAAGCCUUCCAUGGUACUCCUUUUAUGUGCAUGUAAUGGUAAUGAAUAGGCACUCUCUUUUGGGGGGGGGGAAACCAUGAUGACAAGAAUACUGCCAGUAAACCCAGUGCUAAUUUAGACAGAGGAUGGGCUUCUUCUAGCUUCUUUCCAGCAGGUAACUAGAUGAUCCUCUUCUGCUCUGAAUCACGCACCAGCCUCAGCUCCCAGGUGCGCAGAGACCUCAACAUCGGUCUCGGUGGGGUUCUCUGUCCAUUCAAUGUGUCUGCAUAAGUGUUAGCUCUGAUCACCACAGAGGUCUCUACACAAUCCAUCAACAUAUCUGGAGACAAUGUUUAGAAUAUUGAUGGUUAUUGAUAUUCUUCAUAUAUUUUCUUUCCCUCGAAUAACACUAGAUUUCUUCUCACUGCAACAUGGUGAACAAACCUAAAUAGAUCUGAAAUAGGUUUAUAAUCAAUCCUCUUUUCCUAUAAAAACAAAAGGACCUAAACAUGUUAUUUCUUUUUUGCUUUCCUUGAAAUGUUUUAGCCAAAGUUUGAAAGAGUCUUUCGUGCAAAUACUCUCGUAUUCUUGGCUCUUUGUUGAACAUAAAUCUUGAUGGGAGAUUUAUAUGGUUCCAUUAUGAGGCAAUUCUAUUUUUUUCUUUCUUUUUUUAAGACAAAGUGAGAUGUAGUGUUUUUUCAAAAAAAUGUGUUCCCCUCUCUAUCACUUUUCCCUCUGCUUCUUUUUUUUCCCCUCCCUCCAAGUAGUUUGAUCAUCUGUCUUAUUUGUUUAGUUGUUACCCCACAACUUAAUUUUUGUGUUUCUCGUGUUCUUUUAUUGAAACAUUGGGGAUGUUUUAAUUAAGCAAUGUUUGUAAUUUCCAAAUUUGUCAAAUAAGAUGGUAAUAAAUGGAUGUUACACACGCC